Molecule: ribosomal RNA, 968 nt
Filed under: Eudorella emarginata
Lineage: Eukaryota; Metazoa; Arthropoda; Malacostraca; Cumacea; Leuconidae
Description: SSU rRNA
Source: RNAcentral
GCUACCACAUCUAAGGAAGGCAGCAGGCACGCAAAUUACCCACUCCCAGUUCGGGGAGGUAGUGACGAAAAAUACUGAUGCGGGACUCGUUCCGAGGCCUCGCCAUCAGAUUGAGCUCAGUCUAAACCAUUGGACAAGUUUCGACUGGAGGGCAAGUCUGGUGCCAGCAGCCGCGGUAAUUCCAGCUCCAGUAGCGUAUGCUAAAGUUGCUGCGGUUAAAAAGCUCAUAGUUGGAUCUCACGGUCGGAACGGCGGCCCACUAAAGGUUUCGACCAGCGCUGUGGCUAGUCGGUGUACUCGUUACGCUUGGCUUCCGUGGUUUGCUUGCGUCUGCCUGGUGGUCAACUGUCCGUCUCCGGCUCGAGACUCCCGCUGGUUCGCGAGGGAUGCCUUGUCUCGUACGGGUGUCCCGAGUGACCGGCACGUUCACUUUGAAUAAAUUAGAGUGCUCAAAGCAGGCAAAGUCUUAUGCCUGAAUGAUGGUGCAUGGAAUGAUGGAACAGGACCUCGGUUCUGCUCUUUGGUCGAUUUUUUAGAAUCGAGGUAAUGAUUAAAAGAAACAGACGGGGGCAUUCGUAUUGCGACGCUAGAGGUGAAAUUCUUGGACCGUCGCAAGACGAACUACUGCGAAAGCAUUUGCCAAGAAUGUUUUCCUUAAUCAAGAACGAAAGUUAGAGGAUCGAAGGCGAUCAGAUACCGCCCUAGUUCUAACCAUAAACGAUGCUACCUGGCGAUCCGUCGGCGUCAUACCCACGACUCGACGGGGAGCCUCCGGGAAACCAAAGGCUUUGGGUUCCGGGGGAAGUAUGGUUGCAAAGCUGAAACUUAAAGGAAUUGACGGAAGGGCACCACCAGGAGUGGAGCCUGCGGCUUAAUUUGACUCAACACGGGGAAACUUACCARGUCCAGACACCGAAAGGAUUGACAGAUUGAGAGCUCUUUCUCGAUACGGUGGUUGGUGGUGCAUG